CAAUAGCGUAUAUUAAAGUUGUUGCGGUUAAAAAGCUCGUAGUUGGAUUUCUGCUGAGAACGACCGGUCCACCCUUUGGGUGUGUAUCUGGCUCUUUCUUGGCAUCUUCUUGGUGAACGUUGCUGCACUUGACUGUGUGGAGCGCUACCAGGACUUUUACUUCGAGGAAAUUAGAGUGUUUCAAGCAGGCAUACGCCUUGAAUACAUUAGCAUGGAAUAAUAAGAUAGGACCUCGGUUCUAUUUUGUUGGUUUCUAGAGCUGAGGUAAUGAUUAAUAGGGAUAGUUGGGGGCAUUCGUAUUUAACUGUCAGAGGUGAAAUUCUUGGAUUUGUUAAAGACGGAUUACUGCGAAAGCAUUUGCCAGGGAUGUUUUCAUUGA
Molecule: ribosomal RNA, 379 nt
Filed under: uncultured eukaryote
Lineage: Eukaryota
Description: partial 18S ribosomal RNA
Rfam family: Eukaryotic small subunit ribosomal RNA
Source: RNAcentral